GGGGCUGCAAUGGCUUCGACGGGGACGAGGAAGUCCGGGAAGCGAGUAGCGGAUGAGCCGGCCGCUUUAAAACGGCUCAAACUUAAAUAUAAACGCUAACGAUUACGAAUUAGCUGCUGCCUAAACGGCAGUAUGUCUCCUCUGCGAGUACCGCGGCGCAGACUGAGGCAAAUACCAUGCGGUGAACGUGAGUUAAGGAGUGUUCCGGCCUUUUCCAUGACUUAGGGACUACCGAUGAUAUAACUUUGGUUGUGGAGUAGUAUCAAAGGGAAUGUUGACCAUAACCUGCACUCGGAGAAACCCGAAUGGAUUUGUUUUCGGACACGAGUUCGAUUCUCGUCAGCUCCACCA
RNAcentral lists this transfer-messenger RNA (351 nucleotides) under Clostridia bacterium. It matches the Rfam family "transfer-messenger RNA". Rfam says of the family: Bacterial tmRNA, also known as 10Sa RNA or SsrA, is named for its dual tRNA and mRNA-like properties. Its role is to liberate the mRNA from a stalled ribosome. The record is from RNAcentral. Lineage: Bacteria; Bacillati; Bacillota; Clostridia. RNAcentral also lists the same sequence under 1 other name.